CAGCAUGAAUUAACUUCGGUUAAUUUGAUGGCGAGUGGCGAACGGGUGAGUAACGCGUAGGAAUAUGCCUUAAAGAGGGGGAUAACUCGAGGAAACUCGAGCUAAUACCGCAUAAGCUCUACGGAGUAAAGUAUGGGACCUUCGGGCCAUGCACUUUAAGAAUAGCCUGCGUCCGAUUAGCUAGUUGGUGGGGUAAAGGCCUACCAAGGCGAUGAUCGGUAGCUGGUCUGAGAGGAUGGACAGCCACACCGGGACUGAGACACGGCCCGGACUCC
Molecule: ribosomal RNA, 275 nt
Filed under: unidentified marine bacterioplankton
Lineage: Bacteria
Also listed under: 1 other name
Description: partial 16S ribosomal RNA
Rfam family: Bacterial small subunit ribosomal RNA
Source: RNAcentral